Sinocyclocheilus anshuiensis is the source of this 374-nucleotide long non-coding RNA. RefSeq lists it as uncharacterized. Lineage: Eukaryota; Metazoa; Chordata; Actinopteri; Cypriniformes; Cyprinidae. The record is from RefSeq and is a predicted model, not a curated record. The transcript has 2 exons.
UUUUUUGUUUGUUUGUUUUGUUUUACUUUCACCUUAUUUUAGUUAUUUUACCAUCACCAUCUUCGCUUUUUGUAUAGGAUUACAGUAGUUCUAGCACCUGUUGUUUCCUUAAUGAGUUAUACAGGUUAUUAGUAGCCUAAUCCCUGUUUCCUCUCUACUUCUCCUCACUCCUCAGUGCCAGACCUAAUACAUUGAAGGGCAGCUACUGUUCAACACAAUGUAAGCCAAGGUAGAACUAGGAACAAUGUUUCUUUUUCUUUUUUUGACGAGGCAUUUGGUGGGUCCCUGCUAGUUUAGCUAACAGUCUAACCCUAGGUUUAUGAGUCUAUUGCAGCAUCACCCACAAGUGACACCUGCUUAGCCAUAUCUCUUAG